This is a non-coding RNA of Schistosoma mansoni, 45 nucleotides long. Lineage: Eukaryota; Metazoa; Platyhelminthes; Trematoda; Strigeidida; Schistosomatidae. The record is from Rfam.
AUCCGGUUGACGAGUCUCAAAUAGGACGAAACGCGCGUCCUGGAU